This 85-nucleotide transfer RNA is filed under the name Allonocardiopsis opalescens. It matches the Rfam family "tRNA". From Rfam's summary of the family: Transfer RNA (tRNA) molecules are approximately 80 nucleotides in length. Lineage: Bacteria; Bacillati; Actinomycetota; Actinomycetes; Streptosporangiales. The record is from Rfam by way of RNAcentral.
GCCCGGGUGGCGGAAUUGGCAGACGCACCGGAUUCAGGAUCCGGCGGCCCACGGGCCACUGCAGGUUCGACUCCUGUCCCGGGUA